Molecule: ribosomal RNA, 448 nt
Filed under: uncultured bacterium
Lineage: Bacteria
Description: SSU rRNA
Rfam family: Bacterial small subunit ribosomal RNA
Source: RNAcentral
AGAGCGAACGCUGGCGGCAGGCUUAACACAUGCAAGUCGAGCGGGCGUAGCAAUACGUCAGCGGCAGACGGGUGAGUAACGCGUGGGAACGUACCUUUUGGUUCGGAACAACCCAGGGAAACUUGGGCUAAUACCGGAUAAGCCCUUACGGGGAAAGAUUUAUCGCCGAAAGAUCGGCCCGCGUCUGAUUAGCUAGUUGGUGAGGUAAUGGCUCACCAAGGCGACGAUCAGUAGCUGGUCUGAGAGGAUGAUCAGCCACAUUGGGACUGAGACACGGCCCAAACUCCUACGGGAGGCAGCAGUGGGGAAUAUUGGACAAUGGGCGCAAGCCUGAUCCAGCCAUGCCGCGUGAGUGAUGAGGGCCCUAGGGUUGUAAAGCUCUUUUGUGCGGGAAGAUAAUGACGGUACCGCAAGAAUAAGCCCCGGCUAACUUCGUGCCAGCAGCCGC